RNAcentral lists this long non-coding RNA (297 nucleotides) under Brassica napus (rape). RNAcentral's name for it is "long non-coding RNA (BNAP_LNC017644)". Lineage: Eukaryota; Viridiplantae; Streptophyta; Magnoliopsida; Brassicales; Brassicaceae. The record is from RNAcentral.
AAUUCAAUACAUCGCAUUAUUUUUCAUCUUCUUAAAGAGAUUGAUUCACAUAUUUAUCUUAUUGUCAAUGAAAUUGUUGUUUGACCCCAUAAUUCUAUUCAAUCAUACUGGACUUACUGAGAUUUAAUAGUCCAAAAAAUAGAAUUUCGUAACUUUGAAACUUAUAAUGUGUCCCUUAUGCUGUAAAAUCAUCAUGGAAUUACCUUGAUUGGUUGACUUGUGCUCUGCAAUCGCUCGCGCCGUCUUGAAAAUAGAAGGUCUUAUGUAAUCCUGACUUUGAAGAGCCAAUUGAUGUCG